This is an RNA transcript of Benincasa hispida (wax gourd), 2477 nucleotides long. RefSeq lists it as uncharacterized. NCBI's taxonomy places the organism in Eukaryota, Viridiplantae, Streptophyta, Magnoliopsida, Cucurbitales, Cucurbitaceae. The record is from RefSeq and is a predicted model, not a curated record.
GAACUCAUCAAUUUCGUUUGUCCCCUCAUUUAUUUUCUCUCCCUCUCUUGUCCCCUUUUUUCUCUUUCUGAAAUUCCACCCACAACACCUUCUCUCUAAUUUUUUCCUUGUCAGAACCCUGUUGAUCAGCGCUACUGCCACAGCCCCACGACCAUGUUUCUUUUCGUCUUCCCUCAUUUUCUCGCCAUAGCGCCACUGCAAGUUCACCAAUACGCAUCUCUCUUCCAGAACGGCUCUAACAAGGUUCCUCCCAAAAUCGAUCGAUCGUUAGUGUAUUCGGUAUGUUGGUUCCUUAGGCACUCCCUAAACUGAAAACCACCCACUGAUCAGAAUCAACAGAUUGAUGGUUGGCGUCAAUUUUAGCCCAAAACCGACACCGACCAUUGAUCAUCAAGCAAGGAAAAAAAUUUGAUUUUUUUAUUCUUCACACCCCCGAUUAUGUCCCAGGUCAUUAGAUAGGAAUCUGAAAAGGAAGAGAGAAACAAAGAAUAUUACCAUACUUUUAUGGAUCCAGAUAUAGGUUUAUCUCAUUUUUUUUUACUCGACAAAGGACUGUAGACCUCGUAGUGACUCUGACGUUGAAUGAGGUAAGUUUGAGCAGUGUAAAAUUAGUCAUUCAAUGAGGGUAUCUUCGUAUGGAGGCCGAUGUUCUUGAAGACUAUUUGUCUGAAGCUUUUGAUUUAAUAUUUCUAGAUCGUGACAAGAAGGCUCCUCCUAUUCCUUCAUCCACACUAGCCAAUUUUGGGCAAAUUUGCUUUGUUGAUUUGCAUGAGGUCUUGAAUUACGCAAAAUACCUACAUUAGCCUAAGAAAGUCGUGUCAUGUUUUAGGCUUUUAGUUGUUCUGAGGUAAUUGGAUUGAUUUGCAUGAAGAGAAUUUUUACUUAUUUGGUUGUGAUGGUUUCCCAAAGCUUCUUUUUAUGGGAUAGUUGUUCUUGAAAAGUUGAAGUAUUUUUUGUGGAGUCGUGCAGAUUUGGCUUGAGGAUUGGGAGUUUGAUGGAAUUAAUUUUUUUGGUAUUGAGAAACUUUCUGAUUUUGUUGCUACAGGUUGCCUUCGGAUUGGUUUUAAAAUGAUUUUUUUUUUUUUGGAUAGCUGAAUACUUCUUGGUAGCUAUUGGUUGGUUUUCAGUGUUUGGUGGAGGCCUUAUUCAUAGCUUCAUCAUUCAUUUGCGAGCUCCCCAAGUCUUUCAAUUGAAGAUAUUAGAAAGUUCUUAGUUCUUUAAAUAUGUAUUGCUCUGUUUUUAUCUUAUUUUCUUCACUCUCUCGGAGAGUUUGUAUCUCUUAAAUAUUUAUUCCUUUUUAUUAUAUCAAUGAGAAGCAGUAUUCCUUGUUUUUUUUCUUUUUUAGUACAACAACGAGAAGUUAUCCUUGUUAAAAAAAACAAAAUCUGUUUGAGGGUUUUGUGUGGAAUUUUCUUUUCACAAUGAUCCAGAUUUUGUUACCAUAGUUCUCAUUUUUUUUUUUUGUUAUGUUUUUUUUAAUUUUUUUUUAUUGCGGUUUGGAAUUUUGAUGUUUCUUGGUUCCCAAAAAUCUUCGUUUGGAAUUUUGAAAACCAUUAUUUUUUAUGUCAUGACGAAUUGUUUUGCACUUACAGAUAAAUCAGUCUAUUCAUGAUGUUCAUGGUGUUGAUGUGCAAUUUUGUGGAGUUAACUUCCUGGAGUCAUUGGAUACAUUAUCAUUUUUCUACACUCUUCGGUGUGUGUUCACAGCACACAAAAUCCAUGGAAGUUAGUCACUGUGCAAAGUUUAGCUUGGUCCUUCUUGGCACGAUGUUUUGAUUUCAAGUAGCCAUAUUUCAUGGCUUUUGAAUUUAUAUGCCGCACUUCAACAGAAGUUUUCAUGUCAAGCCAAACUGCCCUAUAGCCGUAUCUGCUCGAAGCUAAUCGUACAAUUUUGCUCCUUAGCAGGGACAAUAUUUCAUUCAGGCCAUUUGGCACCCUUCAACUGUUACCUAGUUUGAUGGGUGAAGUUAUAAAGAUUCUUAUGACCCAUAACAGUGACGAAGAGACAUAGAGUUGGCAGGCUCGUGAUAAGCAAAGAAGCUACGAGACUAAUGAUCAAGCUACUGGAGAUGAAAAAAGAAGCUACGAGGCUGAUGAUCAAGCUACAUGAUUAUUGAAGAUAAAGUAAAAGCAACAACCCAUAAGAGGAAAUUAAGUUACCUCAUAUGGAGUUAGAAGAGAAUGAUACUUGUUAUGAAUGGAUCCUAAAAUAAAGAGUAUAGUGGUCAAAGGAGAACAAGAGAAGACUGAAGUGAUAGGGCCCAAGGACAACUUGGGUCGGUCGACCUCGACCCCAAUCGAAAUUGAGGCCGAACUUCUUAUGUUAGCCCAAUGGCCAAAGACCCAAUAUAGCUACGCCUUAAGGGUCAAUAGGGCAAGCCCUGGCACAUUUAGCUUGAGAGAUAACCUAGCUCAUCUAGAUAAACCUUCUAUCAAAUCCCCUAUAAAUACAUCAAUUAUAACUUCAUACGAGGCAA